AUUGAACGCUGGCGGAAUGCUUUACACAUGCAAGUCGAACGGCAGCACGGACUUCGGUCUGGUGGCGAGUGGCGAACGGGUGAGUAAUGUAUCGGAACGUGCCAGUCGUGGGGGAUAACGUAGUGAAAAUUACGCUAAUACCGCAUACGAUCUAUGGAUGAAAGCGGGGGAUCGCAAGACCUCGCGCGAUUGGAGCGGCCGAUAUCAGAUUAGGUAGUUGGUGGGGUAAAGGACCACCAAGCCAACGAUCUGUAGCUGGUCUGAGAGGACGACCAGCCACACAGGAACUGAGACACGGUCCAAACUCCUACGGGAGGCAGCAGUGGGGAAUUCUGGACAAUGGGCGAAAGCCUGAUCCAGCCAUUCCGAGUGCAGGAUGAAGGCCCUCGGGUUGUAAACUGCUUUUGUACAGAACGAAAAGGUUUCUACUAAUACUAGGAGCUCAUGACGGUACUGUAAGAAUAAGCACCGGCUAACUACGUGCCAGCCGCCGCGGUAA
This 499-nucleotide ribosomal RNA is filed under the name uncultured bacterium. RNAcentral describes it as "partial 16S ribosomal RNA". It matches the Rfam family "Bacterial small subunit ribosomal RNA", at positions 30 to 523 of the family's 1533-position model. The record is from RNAcentral.